UUCUAUUAGAAUUUAUUAAUAGUAAAAACUGCUCAAUGAAAAUAAAUUGCCGCAAUACGUGCUAAGGUAGUAAAAUAAUUUGUCUUUUAAUUAAAGACCAAACAAAAGAUUAAACAUUUAAACUUUUUUCAAAAUUUUUUAAUAAAAUUUUUUUAAAUGUUAAAAAACAUUUAUUUAAAACAGAGACGACAAGACCCUAUCGAACUUUACUUUAGUUUAACUGGGGAAGUAAAUAAAUUAAUAUUUUUAAUAUAUUUUUAUAAAAUUAUUCUAAUACUAUUAAAUAAUCAAGUUACCGUAGGAUAACAGCGUAAUAGAAUUUUUUAGCUCUUAUUAAAAAUUCUGAUUGCGACCUCGAUGUUCAUUUAAUUAUUCUUAUUAACGCAAUAGUUUACUAAGAAAG
This 403-nucleotide ribosomal RNA is filed under the name Psechrus senoculatus. Its description in RNAcentral is "partial 16S ribosomal RNA". The record is from RNAcentral. Lineage: Eukaryota; Metazoa; Arthropoda; Arachnida; Araneae; Psechridae.